Molecule: long non-coding RNA, 2930 nt
Organism: Monomorium pharaonis (pharaoh ant)
Lineage: Eukaryota; Metazoa; Arthropoda; Insecta; Hymenoptera; Formicidae
Exons: 2
Source: RefSeq, a predicted model, not a curated record
UCACGGUACGAUGGAUUAACGCGUUUGUCGCAGUCAUUGAGAAAAUUUCACGAGCGACAUUACGAACAAGCAAAGAGAGAGAGAGAGAGAGAGAAGGGUAAAACGUCAGCGCUUUUGCACGAACGCGCGCUCGUUAGCGGGAUUCAGCGGGAAUUGCAAAAAUAAUAUUUGGCCGGCGUUAAGUUAACGGGCGGUAUGCUCGUACCUCGUUAACUUCGUCGCUGGCCACGAGCGAAUUAUUGCUUCCGUUUCGGCACCCGCGCGAAAACAGUGCGCGACCCGCGCGAGAAAAAUCACGACUCCCACGCGGAUUAGCGCGAGCGUUGCACGGACUGCAUAAGGAUUACGUGACGGACUGCACCGACCGGGCCGAUGAUGCGCUCUCUCGAAGGUGCAUGCCGACCGUCCAAAUAAUUAGUAGCAAAAUGCAAUGCGAGACUGCGGAAUAUUUUACUGAAAGUCUGCUCGUGCAUGCUGCACGUUGCAUAAUAAAAUAACAAAAACGAUUAUAUAAUGAUAAUAAAUAAUAAAAUUAGAUUACUGUAGCUUUUGAAAUAUGUUUUAUUAAAUCAAAUUGUGUUCACAAAUUUUGUAUAGAAUUCAUAUUACGACAUACGUCUCCCAUACGCAAUUUCCAUAGAGUUUGCUAAAAAUUUAUAUAAUAAUAAAAAAUUGUGUACAUAAUAGAGUUACAUAUUAUUUUACGUGCUAUAAUAAAAGUAACCGGCAGCUGAACAACAAAGGAGGGUCGGCGCAAUUAAAAACAAUUGGCAACUUUUGUAUGUUGUAUAAUUCAUACAGCUUUUAGCUAUGCGCGUGCUCUGUUUGUCGCUUAGGAUUUUAUGACUCGUAAUAAAUUUAUCCGAUCGUGCAUACAAUAGGACAUGGAAUAUUGUAUUAUUAAAUCGAGAGAGGCCGGCCGUGUGCACCUGUUACGGACAUCUCCCGCGUAAUCCAUAUUUUACAAACGCAAUAUCGAUAGCCGCCAGCGAGAUAUUUCCUUUGUUCCGCCUAGAAUUAACAUCAUUAAUAAAUUGCAGCAUCGAGAAUGACUAGCAGCGUUUCGUUCAGACUCGUGCGCGUAAUUCGCAAAGAACAAUCGUAGAGACGACUGCUGUUGAGGUGCGAAAAAUUUCUCUAUAAAAUUUGCAAUACCAACGGAGCGAAACGCAAUUACAAUGCGCGCAACUGUCAAAAUGAUGGAAGCUUUAAUCCUACUUUAAUUUAUUUUCAAAACGGAGACAGCUUUCCAUAUACAGAUCAAAGUGUAAGCACAAAGAUGCACAAGGUAUCUCAAUUUAAUUUUUAUGUGUCCGACAAAUAAGCUAUGAUAUAACCAAUAAUUAUAACACAAGCAAAUAUAUAUAAUUAUAAUACAAGCAAAUUAUUAUAUUAACAAUCCGCAUUUCCUGGCAAUCUGGAGAUCUAAUUAACCUAAUUGUUUAUUAUUAAUUCAUCCGAUAGCGUUAUUCAAAUUAAUACAUCCCGAACAUCCGCGAAACAAAUAUGGAAAUCAAUGUUCGUACAUGCGAAGAUGGAAUAUAACUAUUAAUGUAAAAGUGGAAUAUUAUUGAGAGGAAUUGGAAACGACAUCAAAACUAUCAUUUUCCCAAUGAUACUUCUCGAUUACCUAUACCUAUUACGUAACAAUAUGCAUACAUCAAUACACAAUAUUUUACAAGAGAGAAAAAAAAUGUGUAUGUAAAUCAUACCGCUCGCAAUUUGCAACAUGCGGUUUAUCGAUUUUUUCCACUCCUUAAGAAAACAAAAUUUGAGUUAUUUAUUUAUACUAUUAUUUAUAUAAGUGAAAAACUGCAUUUCUUAAAUAUCAAAGAGAAAUUUAACCGCUGGGUACUGGAUAUCGUUAAACAUUUUAAUUAUACAUGUAAUAUGUAAACACAUUAAUUUAAAAUUAAUGUGAGGAUACAUUAAUAUAUUGGUAUUACGUCAUGUUUAAUACAAAUUCUUGUAAAUAGCUGGUUAAUUUGCCUAAAAUAAUUUGUUCAUUAGAAAAGAUCAAGAUGACGAAUGACUCUGCUUUUUCAUCUCGUGUAUCAAAACUUAUGGUAAUAUUUUCUACGAAAAUGGACUUUGUCCUUUUUUUUAUAUUGUCAUAUUUAAAAAAACCUAUACAAAACGCGUUUUCUUCACACGUUGGUUAGUUUAUUUAAGGUCACAUUAACACCGCGACAGUUUCUUUGUGACAACGGUAGAGAUUUAAAAAAACAGGUUUUUAAAAACUCGGAAUAAAAAAAUUAAGUAAAAAAAAUCGAUUUUUACAAAAAAUUUUCAAAGACGAUAUAGAAUUACUUUUCUUGAUAUUUAUCGUUAAAAUGUUCAAUAUCUAUAUUAUUUCAGUAUUAUUUAUCUUUGGCUUUAUAACUUUAAAUAUUAAGACGGAAACGUUGCAGUAAUACAAUGCCUAAUAGCAAAUUGCAUUCGCUCUAAGAGUGCACUAAUAGCGAAUUUGAUCUUUGCAUUUACAUUUUUUACGAUCUUUAUAUUUUUUUAUAGAAAAUUUUUUUAAUAAAUGUAAGAAUUGAAUUCUAGAACAAUAAUAUGGCGUUAAAUGUUGAAAGAAAAUUUAUAUCCAAAUAAAAUACUUUUAGGAUCAGAGUAAAUACUUUUCAUGUCUAGACAGCUGUAUCAUACUAUCUAUUUGAUAAAAUGAAUAAUAAUAAUAUAUUAUUAUGUGUGUGAAACAAAAACGUGUGAAAGCCUUAACUACUUCGAGGAAUAAAUGUAUGUUUACGCAUUCUCUUAGUCAAGAGGUAUUUAUCAUGCUUUUAGCAUAAAUUAUCAUUGAAAACAUCGAUUCUCAUCAAAAUUAGGUUUUUACAUAGUUUUUUACCUGCUUUUUUAAGCUAUUACGACAUAAACGAGAUAUAUUUUCAAACACAUACACAAACAAACAAACACAUACACACACA